AAAAUAGAGGUGCGAGAGUUCAGGUAGUUCUUCACGCUUGACUGCGGGGUCGUUUGUGAGGGAGGAAUGGGGCUUUUGCCGAAGGUGUGCUUUAUCCGCUAAGGGCGCAUCUGGGCGUGCGGCUUAGAGCUGCGCGACUGUCAUUGCUUGUCAAUGGUGCGCUAUUG
Molecule: non-coding RNA, 167 nt
Filed under: bovine gut metagenome
Description: Lysine riboswitch
Rfam family: Lysine riboswitch aptamer
About the family: Riboswitches are metabolite binding domains within certain messenger RNAs that serve as precision sensors for their corresponding targets.
Source: RNAcentral